This 271-nucleotide long non-coding RNA is filed under the name Lathyrus oleraceus (garden pea). RNAcentral's name for it is "Pisum sativum (pea) long non-coding RNA (PSAT_LNC015146)". Lineage: Eukaryota; Viridiplantae; Streptophyta; Magnoliopsida; Fabales; Fabaceae. The record is from RNAcentral.
ACAAAUCAUCUAAGUUCAUGACUAUCCAAAAGUCCACAAAUGGUCAUCCAGCAAGAAAAAUACCAAACAAAUCAGAAAUCCAUCCAAACAUGCCACAAAAAUUCACAAGCAAACCUAACAUCCAUAAGUAACAUCAUGCAAAAAAAUCUCAUCAAUUGGCAUUUAUUUGGCAUGGUAAAGAAAAUCCACAAGUUGGACAAGCAAUGGUGUGACACACAUUGUCACACCCACAUUAAACAGAUCAUAUCUCAACAACCAGAAAUGAGAAAAA